Long non-coding RNA from Dermacentor albipictus, 3158 nucleotides. RefSeq lists it as uncharacterized. NCBI's taxonomy places the organism in Eukaryota, Metazoa, Arthropoda, Arachnida, Ixodida, Ixodidae. The record is from RefSeq and is a predicted model, not a curated record.
UUGGUCGACAUACCACGUUGGCUGUCAGAAAUGCACACUGCAGUAAGGCGGUAUUUGAGUUAUAUUUUAGAAGUGCCUAGACAAAAUGUGCUCCUUGUCGUGUGCAGUAACCAUCGCAAACCCUCCGGACUUGUGUAACGCCGUUAGUUCGCCGUGUGUUUCGUGCGAUCUACCAGUGUCGACAGUGAGUGUCUUACUACAGCGCUCGUCCGAGCUGCCUUUGUUCUGCCCACGCUCCCGUGAAAAGUCUGGUACUGGAGCUUCGAAUCGUAGUGUAUGGAAGGCUGUUGAAGGUUGUGCUUUUGUGGAGCUGGAGUUCAUCGGAAGUUCUACAGUGCUUGCGCCAGAAAGACGUCGGUGCCUCGGUACCUUUGAGACGAAGGAGCGUUGGCCAAGUCUUUUUGAAAGGCUAUGCGGAUUCUGGAGGCAUCCCUACAUCGAGCAGGAACCUGCUGCACUGCUGGAAGCUGGAUAGCACGACAAUAAAGCACGUGAUCUGUGUGCUUUCUCAAAGGUAGACAUCGGCGACGGUGUAUAUGGUGAAAAGGGCCUGCUGAAGAGGCUGCGCCUGGAUGCUAACAACUCGGGCUUUCAGUUUGCGGGGGGCCUCCUUAAGGCUCCUUUUACAAAAGAAGAGGUUGAAGGGAGGCGCUACACAUGGAUGCGCAGCGAUUGUUUGUGACAGCGUCACUGGCCUGCCUUUUCGCUUUGUUCUGGGUUUUCCACGUUAUCUACUCGAAAAAGGCCCACAGGAUUUUGACAUUUAUUGAGCACUGCUUUCUGGAUUUUUGCUACACAAAGCCGCAGGUGAAAGCAUUGGAUUUAGUCAAUUUUUACAAGAACUAUUGCUAGGCAAAAAAAUUUUCAGAUGCAUAUCAUCAAGAAAGUUUCUGUCAAAAUUAUUUUGCCUAACAAAAGCACUCGUGGGUUCUGUGGCUGACAGGUUGCCCAAGCCAUGUAGCACAGUGCUUGCUUUAAAGGGACACGAAAAAGAAAAUUUAUUUGAGCUUUAUUAAAUCAUUCUUCUACAACACCGAAAAAACAACUCCCACCAUGAGAAUUGGCUUGAUAAGCCAGAUAACUUGCAAAAACGAAAACUGGUGUCGCCACCACCACCUUAUAGUUCCUGCACCAGCUCGCUGUGAUAUGGAAUUUGACGGUGUCUGUUCGGGUCUAGCUAAUGUUCUACUGGCCAAUAUUGAUGAAUUCUGUUGUAAAGGUGUCAAAGAAUAUACUUAGUUGAAGUAUGACUCCACACUGAUGUGCGGGCACUGCAUAAAACUUGAAAAAUGAAAGUUAAAUCUUCAUUUUCUCUUCUAAUAAUCCUCUUAUUGCCACAAUGUUCAUGAAUACAGUUCUGAAAGAUUGUUUUAUCAGUAUAAAAUGAUUUACUGUUUCGCUUUAGUAUUUCUGUAAUGGACCUUCAGCAACAAAAUGUGUGUUAGUAUUCCACAGGUAUUCACAGCGGGGGCAAAAGCACCAGCAGCAUGCUCAAUGAUUCUGUACCAACUGAUAACUUGAAGGAUGUCCUGUGCCACUAGGGUUAGGCCAAUGUGGCUCUGUGUUAAUCACAAGUGUAUUAUGCAAAACUUAAUGGCCCAGAAAUUGGUAAUUCAGGAGGGAGUUGAAUUAGCAAUUUUUUUUUCUUUAUCAUGGACUUCUCACAUUACACUUUGUCACAACGCAUUCACUUUAAAGUAACUGGAGAAUAAGGUGGUUUGGUAUUCAGACAUGCCUUCUGUGUGUAAACAGUAUUAGAUGAGCAAUACAAAGAUACACCAUAGAUGCUGACUGGCAACAUGAAGGGGUUUGAGGGCAGCUACAAAUAUACAUCCUUGUAGUCGUACCUAUAGCACCAUGUUCAAUUUGUCACACAAGCAUAUGGCAUCCAUCACAACUGCAUGCCUAGAAACGGACAAGGGCAACACGCUCAAUUCCCUUUUAGUCUAUCUAAGAAGCACUACAAUUUUUAGGCAACGAAAUUGAAAUCUGGCUUGUACCCAUAAGUACUGCAAUACAGUUGUGCAACGUGUUCCUCUUGUGUGGAAAACGGGCUGCAUAUGUUUUCUUUGAGCACAAGGGGGAGUGGUAUCAGUUAGAGCCCCUCCAUCCACGUGCCACUGCCGCUUUCUUAAGUAGCGACAACCUUUGUUGUGCGCCGCCUUUUCCCCUCACACCAAAUCCGGUUCCAGCAUUUCCAGUUUAAAAGUUUCCGGUUCCGGCGUUACCGCUUCCUGAAGUUGUGCUGCGGGAAUUUCCGCUUUGACUGCCGAUGGUGAGACGCCCACGCGUGCUUAGCAGAGCUGUGGGAGUCACCAUGAGAAGAAUGCAAAGGCGACAAGCUGUUGUAUUCCGCUGAAGUAGUAAUUCGUGGUCGCUGUUUUCUAAAUGCACGAAAAACGGCAGUGGUCUCCAAGCGCCCAGGCACUACAUUCCACUGUUCGUUGUCUCUCGUGGCACAACCCGUCGCAGGUUGACGCGAAACAGCGAACACGAUCAGAUCGCUGAUUGCAAUAGGCGGUGGUACUUGGAUGGAAUCGCAUUCACAGUUUAAACCGCAGCUGGUGCAAUUAAAGCCUCUCCAUCGACGCGAAAGUAAACAACGUUAAGAAAAACAUAGCGUUACUUCCACUCGGAACAGGAAGCUGCAGCUACGGAAAUUCCGCUUGACACCGGAAGCUAAGGGGGUGAGUGGCAGAGGAGCGUGGAGGAAGAGGGUAGGUUGGCGGUACUUAACCUGGUCAGCGGAAACGUGUAUGGAGAGGCUUUAGUAUCAGUUAAUGGCUGUUUUCACAUAUAUGUUUUGUCGUGUGUAUUAGCAAUCACCAUUUUCCUUAUCUGAGUGAGGUCAUUUUUUAGAAAGUUUGAAAGUUUAUAGAACAUGUUGCUCAUGGUUGUUGCAGUUUUCUUCCUAACUAUCCAUUCAUUGCACUGUGCACCCAUGUCUUGGGCAACUAGCUGUUUGAAGGUCAGUAUGCUAUCGAUGGGUCUAAUGGUAAUCUCUAGUGCCCUCUCAUUUGCUUGUUGCAAUACUGAAGAGUUUUGUAUAUUGUGUCACUUGUUUAUUUUCACUGUACUUUAGUUUCACUACAUCUUGAAUGUGUUGUGAUAGUUUUUCUUUUGCAAUGAAAGAUAUGGUGGACAGUUGCCAACACUAA